CAAAACUGCUCCCUUCCUCUUCUCUAGGCAGGACGUCGCCGGUCCUCGCCGCCUCCGGUGCGGUGAGAUCGACCCCUCUCUUUUCCUCCUCUUUUUCCUACUUCUAAACCCCUAAAUUCUAAAAUUCAAUUCCUAAGUUUUCUGCCUCCCUUCUUCCCCCUGAAAUUCGCCCCUCCGGCGAGUCCCGCCGCCACUACCGCCGUCUCCGUCGCACCGCUACCCCUGCCUCAGGUAUGCGCCCUCGCUGCCCUCUCUCCGCUCUCUCAACCCCUCUCUCUGUCUCGAUCUUUCUCUCUCUCUCUGCCCUCAACCUCUCUCUCUCUCUCUCCUCAGCGCCGGCGGUCACCUCCUGUCGCGCCUCCGCCGCGGUAGCUCGCAACUGCUGCUGUUGCCGUCCCCAUUUCCCUGUUCUAUCCCUUUUUCUUUUUCUUUUUCUCUAUCUAUUCUAUUUGUUUUUCUGACAUAAAACUCUUGCUUUUAGAAAUCAAUGCUCUUCGGUGAACAUCGCUGGCGGAAGGCGUCACCGGCCCGACAAGGCAGCCUCGGUUUCACUGUGGCUAUUCGAAUUUCAUCUGUUCUUUUUUUCUUUUUGUAUUUAUUCAGUCCAUAAACUCUUCGAAACAGGAAGCAUACUCUAGAUGCUAAAGAAAAUCGAGUUUUAUUGCUUGGUAUCUUAAAUUAGAACUAGAUGUAACUAUUGUCUAAUUCUGUUAUUCUGGACUGUUGUUUACGAAUGAAUUACUGAACUGUAUAAAAGAGUACUACCUGCUUGGGUUGAAUUGCUUGUUGUGACAACUGUUGAGCAUGAUUUAUGUAUUGGUGGACAACUGCUUGGCUGGGUUUAGAUUUGCAAAGUGAGGAAAAUGGUUUAACGAGAGAGAAGAGACUUAUAAUCUCAGAGUCGGUUUAUUACACACAGCUGCGUUAAAAGUGAAGAGCUAC
Molecule: long non-coding RNA, 942 nt
Filed under: Salvia miltiorrhiza (redroot sage)
Lineage: Eukaryota; Viridiplantae; Streptophyta; Magnoliopsida; Lamiales; Lamiaceae
Description: long non-coding RNA (SMIL_LNC011579)
Source: RNAcentral